This 74-nucleotide transfer RNA is filed under the name Hyphomicrobiales bacterium. Its description in RNAcentral is "tRNA-Thr". It matches the Rfam family "tRNA". Rfam says of the family: Transfer RNA (tRNA) molecules are approximately 80 nucleotides in length. Their secondary structure includes four short double-helical elements and three loops (D, anti-codon, and T loops). Lineage: Bacteria; Pseudomonadati; Pseudomonadota; Alphaproteobacteria; Hyphomicrobiales. The record is from RNAcentral.
GCGUCCGUAGCUCAGUGGGAUAGAGCACGGGAUUUGUAAUCCCGGGGUCGCAGGUCCGAGUCCUGCCGGACGCA